GCCGCGCUCGUUUCCCCGCGCGCGGAGCCGAGGCCCGGGCUGGCCGCUCCUAGUGGUGCCCGGGGAGGGGAGGGCGCGGGCCCCGGAGGUCGGCUCAGCUGUGGCGCCGCGUUUGCCGGGAGACGCUCGCCCGGCCCGCGCGCUGCCGCCGGACCCGUUACUACUUUUUUUUUUUUCUCCUGAGACGGAGUUUCGCUCUGGUUGUCCAGGCUGGAGUGCAAUGGCGCGAUCUCGACUCACCGCAACCUCCGCCUUCCGGGUUCAAGCGAUUCUCAUGCCUCAGCCUCCCGAGUAGCUGGAUUACAGGCAUGCGCCACCACGCCCGGCUAAUUUUCUAUUUUUAGUAGAGACGGGUCUUGGUCAGGCUGGUCUCGAACUCCCGACUUCUGGUGAUCCGCCCGCCUCGGCCUCCCAAAGUGCUGGGAUUACAGGCGUGAGCCACCGCCGCCGACCCGGGCCCUGUUUGAUUAUGUCUGCUGCUGCCUUGGCCGUUUUUUCCCCCACCGCUGGACUUUGGCUGGCCGAGCUUGCAGUGCUUAUCGCCCUAGAAACCUGUGAAAGGGCGACAUUGCUGCCAUUUCAGACCCUUCCACUGUUCGUAGUUCUAAGCACGUGUCAGUGUUAAAAAUCCUUUAUCAAGAUGAGCACUGUUCACUUGCCGCCUCUGCAAAGUGUGAGGAUAUUUGCGUGAGCCACUGCGCUGGGCCAGAAUUUUUCAUCAGAUGAUUUAGCCCAUAAUUUUCCCGCCUUUCCUAAAUCACCAUCCCAUUCCUCACAUAUAUUCUGAAUCACUCCAAUGUUGGAAAGUAUAUAUAAAGGGAAGCUAAAAGAUAAGGAGAAACAAGCAAUCAUGUGCCCAGAUAAAAGCAAAAUUGUCUUGUGAAUCAGUGAUAACACUGCAAAAAGUAAAUAGGUUAUGCAGCUGAGAUGUGACUGUAAAAUAACGUAACGAAUUAUAGCUGCCAUUACUUCCAGUCACGAAUACAUUCAUUCUCCAAGAUAAAAUGCAUCUGUCUAGGCCACCAAUUUACAAUUUUUUAAAACCAGCAAUUUAAACCUCAGAAAUUAACUACUUAUCCCUAAGUUGCUUAUCAAAUUACUGAACUUAUCAGUCCUGUAAUACUAAAUAUUAAAACAAGGCAUUUUUAAGAGGAAGAUCAACGAAAUUAGAGACUACCAUAAAGCAAAUCAAAGCAGUAUAUAACUCUGCAACAUGGUGUGAAAUGUCAUGUAAAUUGCUAGACGUUUAGAAUCAAGGAAUGGAUGGAUCAAGAUAUUCCAGGCCAGACUUAGUGGUUCACACCUGUAACCCCAGUACUUUCAGAAGUCGAGGUGGGAAGCUCCGAGACCAGCCUGGGCAACAUAGCAAGACCCUAUCUCUACAAGAAAUUUAAAAAAUAACUGAGUGUGGUGGCACAGAAGUACCUAUGGUCCCACCUGCCCCUGAGGCUGAGGUGAGGGGUCUGCUUGAGCUCAGGAUCCCAAGGUUACCGUGAGCUAUGAUCACAUCACUGUGCUCCAGCCUGAGCAACAGAGUGAGACCCUAUCUCUUUAAAAAAAAAAAAAAGUGAUUGGACAAAAUAUAAUUAUUGGCACCAAGUGAAUGUUAGGAAAAAAAAAAAACACGUACAAAGAACUUUAUAGAGCAGCCAUUCCCACUGGGAAGAGUGUGUAGGUUGGACUCUAACCAUUAAAGAGCUAGGUGGGAUGAUACUAAAUAUAUAUAACAGACAUUUAAUAUAAAUAUGAUAUGAAGGCUAAGGUGAAAAGGGAUGCCAGUGGAUCACAGUAUUUUCUUGAUUCAAUGAUGACAUUGUCCAUUUAAGCAAGGUAGUUUAGGCCACAGUAAUGGCAGAAAAAGGGGAUAAUUUGAAAAUAUUCCAGAAGGACUUCAUUGUAUGUGGGGUUCAUGAUGUCUCGCGACUCCUUUCCGUAUAUGACAAAUACAGCAAAGUUAGGAGGGGGAAGAAGUAUUUUGCUUUUGCUACCAAAAGAAAAACUGUCUGAAGAUGUCUAACCCAGGAAAGCAAGAAAAUAUACAGGCCUAUUUAACAGACCUCUAUGACUAUUUCAAUGGGAAAAAAAAUUUUUAAUGUGUGUAAUGAAUAGUAAACAUAUAAGCAAGUGUGUGUGUGAAUGCCAGUUACUCAAGGGGCCUAGAUGAAGCAGAAAGCCAGGCUAAACACAAAGGUGGAUAUGGAGGUUGAGGGUCACCAAGCUUUUUCAUUUCUGUAAAGAUUGUUCUGUGUGAACAACAAAGAUUUGGUAUUAAAGUUAAAAGAUGAAACGAAAAACAGUUAAGCCCCAAAGUUGUAACCCCAGGGCCUAGCGUGCCCGGCACAUAGCUGAUUCUCAGGGUUGUCCUGGGGGAACUGGAGAAGAUGGAGUGCAAAGUUAAGGCUGUCAGCCAGCAAACUUCCCUUUCCAUCCCUUCACUUCUCAGAACCUCCCUUUCAACCCCAAAAAUGGGAUUUACUUCCCACAUAUUAUACAGCACUCAUUUAUGGAGUGCUUACUCUGUGAAUGAUGAUUAUACCGAACAUGAGGUGGUGAUAAAAAUAAGGCAUGGGAAGAGGGGAGUAUUGGGUGCAAUUGCUGUAAUUUUAAAACAGCUUGGGGCUGGAUGUGGUGGUUCACGCCUGUAAUCCCAGCACUUUGGGGACCGAGAUGGGAGGAUUACUUGAGUUCACAAGUUCUAGAUCAGCCUGAGCAACAUAGCGAAACCUCAUCUCUUCCAAAAAUACCAAACUUAGCCGGUCAUGGUGCCUAUAGUCCCAGCUACUCUGGAGGCUGAGGUGGGAGGAUCGCUUGAGGCUGGGAGGCGGAGGUUGCAGUGAGAUGGGACCACAGCACUCCAGCCUGGGAAUAAAAUAAUUUUUUAAAAGCCACUUGGUUAAGGAAGCCCUCAUUUUGAAGGUGACAUAUGAAGAAAAACUUGAAGGAGCUGAGGGAGCAUUUACUGAGAGAAGACUGUUCUAGGCAGAGAGAAGGGCCAGUCAGUGCCUGGGCCUGAGGCAGAAGCGUGGCUGAUGUGCUCUGGCACAGGAAGGGGAAGAAAAGUGGGAAAUGAUGUUGAAGAAUGGAGGCGGCACAAGCAGAUUUUUCAGCUCCUUGUGGACCAUAGUUAGGUCUUUAUCUUUUAUAAAAUGAGAGGAUUUUGAGUGGAAAGGCGAUUUGAUCAUUUAAACAAGAUCAUUCUAGCUCCUGUGUUGAAAGGAUCCUGAAGCGGAGCCGGGGCCAAAUCAGAGAGGACAGUGAUGAGUCCGUUGUAAUAAGCCAGGCAAGAAAUGAUUGUGGCUCAGACCAAAGUGGUAGCAGUGAGCUGGUGGGAAGUGGAGUCUGGAUAUAUUUUGAAGGUAUAAGCAACAGAAUUUCCUGACAGAUUGGAUAUAGGAUACAAGAAAGAUUGCAUGUAAGAAGUAUCAGUUCUCAAUACAAGAAGCCUGAGAAGGGAUGAGCUCUCAUGAAGAGCCAGAGUGGCAUUAUACUGCAGCCUGGAACACACCCCAGGCUGGGGUCAGGAGAUGUGUGGCAUGUCGAGAAACCUUCAUAAAGAUAACAUAAUUUUUGGUUGUGAUUGAAAUUAACCUGAUCCUUUUCGGAACCAGCUUGAAAGAGUCACCUCUAGAAAACCCAAGGAAGGUGUGGUAGCCAGCCUCUAAAAUGCUCCUUUUUGGCUUUGUUUUUAUUUUUAUUUUUUUGUUUUUUUGAGAGAGAGUCUCGCUCUGUUGGCCAGGCUGGAGUACGGUGGCACAAUCUUGGCUCACUGCACCCUCCAUCUCCUGGGCUCAAGCGGUUCUGCCUCAGCCUCCCGAGUAGCGGGGAUUACAGGUGCGCGCCACCAUGCUUGGCUAAUUUUUGUACUUUUAGUAGAGAUGGGGUUUCACCAUGUUGGCCAGGCUGGUCUCGAACUCCUGACCUCAGGUGAUCUGCCCGCCUCGGCCUCCCAAAGUGCUGGGAUUACAGGCGUGAACCAACAUACCUGGCCAAUGCUCCCGUAUUAUUAAUACCACCUCCUGGUAUUCACUGCCUUGUGUAAUCUUCUCCCUUGUUGUGGGCUAGACCUAUUGACUUGCUUCUAAUAGGAUAUGGCCACAAAAAGAAUGGGAUGUUAUCCCCAAAAUCACAUAAUGAGGAGAUCGUGACCUCCCAGCUCCUGUAUCCCUUCCUCUGGCUGUAACAAGCUGCUAUUUCAGCUUUAUCUCAUAGCUCCACCACCCUAAGUUCCAGCCAUAUUGUAUUACUCACUUUCCCAAACAGAGUUUCAGCUAAACUGAUCAAGAUGUUACCAUUUUAAGACGUUUAAGAAAGAAAUUUGAUCAAACAAAAUAAGUAGACUAAAAUAGAUAAAAGCCUUUAGACUAUCUAGAAAUUCCCUGGCUGUUUUAAACAAAUUCAAGUGUGAAACUGAGGAGUACUUGGCCAAAAUAUGGUUACAAACAACCCCUGGGCAGAGUAUCAUUUUCCAGAUGGGACACCUGUCUUGUAAAAGACUGUUGAGGAUUUGGGGAAGCAAAGAACUUACCACUAUUCUGGGCUGUAACAAAGGAGAAGCUCAAUAAAGACUAAAAAAUACUGUACAAAGAGAGGACAUAGAGGAUCACUUGAGCCCAGGAGUGCUGGGCUGUAGUGGGCUGUGUUGAUCAGGUGUCUGCACCAAGUUGAGCAUCAGUAUGGUGAACUUCCAGGAACUAGAGACCACGAGGUUGCCUAAGGAGGGGUGAAUCGACCCAGGUUGGAAAUGGACCAGGUUAAAACUCCUGUGCUGAUCACUGCUAGUGGGAUUAUGCCUGUGAAUAGCCACUACCCUCCAGUUUGGGCAACAACAUGACCCCAUCUUUUUUUUUUUUUUAAAGUCCAGGCGUGGUGGCUCACACCUGUAAUCCCAGCACUUUGGGAGGCUGAGGUGGGCUGAUUGCCUGAGCUCAGGAAUUCGAGACCAGCCUGGGCAACAUGGUGAGACACCAUCUCUACUAAAAACACAAAAAUUAGCCAGGUGUGAUGGCGCAUGCCUAUGGUCCUAGUUACUCGAGAGGCUGAGGUACGAGAAUUGCUUGAACCUGGGCAGCAGAGGUUGCAAUGAGCUGGGAUCACGCCAGUGAACUCUAGCCUGGGCAAGAGAACAAGACUGCCUCAAAAAAAAAAAAUGGUUUUAGGAAAGGAUAAGACAUGGAAACAAAACCGCACAAUUGUAUAAGUAAUCAUCAAGUAUUAGAAUUAAUGAGUGAAGUUAACAAGGUCACUGGAUACAAACUUAGUUUACAAAAAAGUCCAUUUCUGUGUAUAACAAUAAAGAGGAAAUUAAACUUUUAAAGUGAUAUAUACCAUUUACCUUUGGGAAAAUAUCAAAUAUCUAGUCAUCUGAUGAAAGAUGUGUAAGACCUAUGCACAAAGCAUUACAAAACAAUAUUGAGGAAAACUUUUUUAAAGCCCUAAAUAGAGGGAAUGUCAUUUUUAUGAUUUGGAAGAUGCACAGAUUCAACAUGAUGCCAAUUAAAAUCCCAGCAGGAUUUGUGAGUGCGUUUGCAUCUGUGUUGUGUGUAGAAAUUGACAAGUUGAUUCUAAAAUACAUGCAAAAUGCAAAAGGCCGAAAAGAGCCAAGAGAAUUAAAGAAGAAUGAAACUGGGCAACUUUACUACCAAAUAUCAAAACCUGGCUGUUUAUUUUACUUUUUAUUUUUUUUGAAAUGGAGUUUCACUCUUGUUGGACAGGCUGGAGUGCAAUGGCAUGGUCCUGGCUCACUGCAGCCUCCGCCUCCUGGAUUCAAGCGUUUCUCCUGCCUCAGCCUCCCAAAUAGCUGGGAUUACAGGUGCCUGCCACCAU
Molecule: long non-coding RNA, 5823 nt
Filed under: Homo sapiens (human)
Lineage: Eukaryota; Metazoa; Chordata; Mammalia; Primates; Hominidae
Description: non-protein coding lnc-CUL1-1:4
Rfam family: Metazoan signal recognition particle RNA (bases 4532-4843)
Source: RNAcentral